UGGCGGACGGGUGAGUAACGCGUAGGGAUCUAUCCGAGGGUGGGGGACAACCGUGGGAAACUACGGCUAAUACCGCAUGACGCCUGGGGGCCAAAGCUCGUGAGGGCGCCUUCGGAGGAGCCUGCGUCCGAUUAGCUUGUUGGUGGGGUAACGGCCUACCAAGGCGAUGAUCGGUAGCUGGUCUGAGAGGAUGAUCAGCCACACUGGGACUGAGACACGGCCCAG
This 225-nucleotide ribosomal RNA is filed under the name uncultured bacterium. Its description in RNAcentral is "partial 16S ribosomal RNA". It matches the Rfam family "Bacterial small subunit ribosomal RNA", at positions 96 to 334 of the family's 1533-position model. The record is from RNAcentral.